Molecule: long non-coding RNA, 817 nt
Organism: Drosophila montana
Lineage: Eukaryota; Metazoa; Arthropoda; Insecta; Diptera; Drosophilidae
Exons: 2
Source: RefSeq, a predicted model, not a curated record
AACAAAAAAAAAAAGAGAAAUUAAAAUUUAAAGACAAAGCAAAAGAGAAGAGAAAAUGUUCGCGUACUUCGCUUAGCGCACACUUUUAAAGUGAAUGCUCCGUUGUGACGUAGCCGCUGUAAGUUUUGCCUUUUUUUUGAAACAACCUAUUGUAUACUUAUUGUCUUAUUAGUCGUAGUCAUCCAAUAUAUCCAUUCGGAGCGAGCGCCGCUGCGAGCCUAAACUAUUUUUAUGUAACUUGCAUGUACUUGUACUCGUACGAUACUUACUCAUAAGUAGUUGUUGUCUAGUUUGUUUUAUUCAAAUUCAAAUAAAAUACAAAAUUAUAUCAAAUACAAUUCGUUUUAUUUGCAUAAAGAAUGGACAACUGUGCCUCAAGGUUAAAUAAAAGACUAAAUACACAGUAUGAACAUACAAUUACGUCACAAGCUUAUAUAUCAUGUGUACUUGGUUGGAUUGGACGGGUCAGCGGACUGGCAGAGAGCAUUUAUCCAGAGAGUGAGCAGUAUGGAUAUUCAUCGUCAUACAUACAUAUAAACAUGGAGUGCAGGUUGCAGCUAAACCGAUGAGCGAGCAUGCGUUAAGCCAUUGGUUGUAACAUCUUUGAUCCCGUUAUCCAAGGCACAAACGAAGAGAGCGAGCAUAGUGGAUGGGGUGUGAGCGAUUUCUUAGUUGUCACUGUAUUAGUGCAAAUGCCGGCUUAGCGUAGGCGGCAGCUUGGUGAGAGCAUUUAGUCUGUGCGCAUUAGACUAUUUGAUCGGUCGCGUCCGCUGUGCAGUUUGUGUAAAGUGCGAUAUAUAUUUAUAUUCCAAUCGUU